ACGGGGUGCAGCAGGCGCGAAAACUUUACCAUGCGGGCAACCGUGAUAAGGAAACCCCGAGUGCCAGCACAGGCUGGCUGUCCACCAGUGUAAAUAACUGGUGAAGAAAGGGCCGGGCAAGACCGGUGCCAGCCGCCGCGGUAAUACCGGCGGCUCGAGUGGUGGCCACUAUUAUUGGGCUUAAAGCGUUCGUAGCUGGGUUGUUAAGUUUCUUGGGAAAUCUACCGGCUUAACCGAUAGGCGUCCAAGGGAUACUGGCAAUCUAGGGACCGGGAGAGGUGAGGGGUACUUCAGGGGUAGGAGUGAAAUCCUGUAAUCCUUGGGGGACCACCUGUGGCGAAGGCGCCUCACCAGAACGGCUCCGACAGUGAGGGACGAAAGCUGGGGGAGCAAACCGGAUUAGAUACCCGGGUAGUCCCAGCCGUAAACGAUGCGCGUUAGGUGUAUCGAUGACCACGAGUCAUCGAGGUGCCGAAGGGAAACCGUGAAACGCGCCGCCUGGGAAGUACGGUCGCAAGGCUGAAACUUAAAGGAAUUGGCGGGGGAGCAC
Molecule: ribosomal RNA, 550 nt
Filed under: uncultured archaeon
Lineage: Archaea
Description: bacterial SSU rRNA
Rfam family: Archaeal small subunit ribosomal RNA
Source: RNAcentral